This 253-nucleotide ribosomal RNA is filed under the name uncultured bacterium. RNAcentral's name for it is "partial 16S ribosomal RNA". It matches the Rfam family "Bacterial small subunit ribosomal RNA", at positions 524 to 776 of the family's 1533-position model. The record is from RNAcentral.
UACGGGGGGGGCAAGCGUUGUUCGGAAUUACUGGGCGUAAAGGGUUUGUAGGUGGCUUGCUAAGUCAGACGUGAAAUCCCUCAGCUUAACUGGGGAACUGCGUCUGAUACUGGUGAGCUUGAGUGCAGGAGAGGAACGCGGAAUUCCAGGUGUAGCGGUGAAAUGCGUAGAUAUCAGGAGGAACACCGGCGGUGUAGACGGCUUGCUAGACCAUAACUGACGCUGAGGAGCGAAAGCGUGGGGAGCAAACAGG